Molecule: ribosomal RNA, 253 nt
Filed under: uncultured bacterium
Lineage: Bacteria
Description: partial 16S ribosomal RNA
Rfam family: Bacterial small subunit ribosomal RNA
Source: RNAcentral
UACGUAGGGGGCAAGCGUUGUCCGGAUUUAUUGGGCGUAAAGAGCGUGUAGGCGGCCAGAUAGGUCCGUUGUGAAAACUGGAGGCUUAACCUCCAGCGGUCGAUGGAAACCAUCUGGCUAGAGUCCGGAAGAGGAGAGUGGAAUUCCUGGUGUAGCGGUGAAAUGCGCAGAUAUCAGGAAGAACACCCGUGGCGAAGGCGACUCUCUGGGACGGUACUGACGCUGAGACGCGAAAGCGUGGGGAGCAAACGGG